GAUGAAGAACGUAGCGAAAUGCGAUACGUAAUGUGAAUUGCAGAAUUCAGUGAAUCAUCGAAUCUUUGAACGCAUAUUGCGCUCUUUGGUAUUCCGAAGAGCAUGCUUGUUUGAGUAUCAGUAAACACCUCAAAGACUUCAAUUUGUUUUGAAUGGCUUUGGACUUGAGCAAUCCCAACACCAGUCUUUACGAUCGGUGGAGGGUUGCUUGAAAUGCAGGUGCAGCUGGACAUUCUCCUGAGCUAAAAGCAUAUUUAUUUAGUCCCGUCAAACGGAUUAAUACUUUUGCUGCAGCUAACAUAAAGGGAGUUUGACCGUAUUGGCUGACUGAUGCAGGAUUUCACAAGGGUCGGCAACGAUUCUUGUAAAACUCGAUCUCAAAUCAAGUAAGACUACCCGCUGAACUUAAGCAUAUCAAUAAGCGGAGGA
This 429-nucleotide unclassified non-coding RNA is filed under the name soil metagenome. RNAcentral describes it as "partial contains 5.8S ribosomal RNA, internal transcribed spacer 2, and large subunit ribosomal RNA". The stretch from base 1 to 120 matches the Rfam family "5.8S ribosomal RNA", at positions 35 to 154 of the family's 154-position model. The record is from RNAcentral.